UACCAUUUCUGCUAUCGUGCUUUCUAAUAAAACUGAUUUACACCAUCCCACUGUCCUUUUUCUACCUAGGCCUUUGAUCAGCUCAUAUGGUAAUAGCUGGGAAACAGCUCAUUCCUUAUGAAAUGUAGCAGAAUUUCCUUUACUUUUCCUUCCUGAAUUCUGAAAGCACAAUGCCAAGCUGAAUAUCUUCAGUGUCAAUGGAGAUGAGUCUCAAGUUGUUGUUGUGUAUGGUCCAGAAACCAGAAAAGAUGAUUGCACUUAAUAUUCCACUGCAAGCAAAAGAUGUAGUUAUUAAAUAAAAGGUUACCAAUCAGUCCUUCAAAUCUCCAUGGAACGACAACAACAAAAGUCUAAACACUGCAGCAAGUGAUCUACUUAUUCGAAAACUAUCCAUUGACCUUCUUAACAGAAUGGAAGCACAUAUGUAUUGAUUAUUGCUUUAAGAAAAAAGUGCCUUAAAAAUCCUUUUAUAAUUUCAACUUUCACUGCUCUGACUUGCAUUAAAUAUAUUAUGAAUGGAUUUCACCUCGGGAAGUGACUUUUUAUUGCAUUAUUCUUCCAGAGCUUUUUAGCUUCUUAACAAAGUUAUUUUAAUCUGUGUUUAUAGUGCCAAGGUCUGUCCAUUAUUUCAUAAAAUAAGCAGUGACUAUAAGUGAUGCUGUCACAUUACCAAGGUUUGUACCACAUCAUAGAUCUUUACAAAGUGGUUUGAACUGGUAUGUUCUGGGAUGGGUUGUGUAUAAUGGAGUGUGAACUUUUCCUUUGGUGACCUUUUUGCACACAUUAACUCAUCCUG
Molecule: long non-coding RNA, 796 nt
Filed under: Coturnix japonica (Japanese quail)
Lineage: Eukaryota; Metazoa; Chordata; Aves; Galliformes; Phasianidae
Description: lncRNA (ENSCJPG00005008394.1)
Source: RNAcentral